This is a non-coding RNA of Paramormyrops kingsleyae, 1460 nucleotides long. The record is from RefSeq and is a predicted model, not a curated record. NCBI's taxonomy places the organism in Eukaryota, Metazoa, Chordata, Actinopteri, Osteoglossiformes, Mormyridae.
AAGAGACCCCGAGACAUAUUUUUCGUGUUCAGAGCUUGCUGUCCGGACAAGCGGAUUUGUAGUGAACGUCUCAGGAUAACAACACCACGUGCCGUCAAAAACAUGGCCGCUGCGGAAAUCCCCCGGUACCCCCCACCCCUCGUGUGGCAAUUACCCCACUGUCCAGAAUCCCGAAGCUAAAUUUCAAACGUACAUGAAUAAUUAUUACGAAGGUAUAAACCUGUUCCAGAAAGUUCCCCGUCCAGAAAGUGUUGGUAAUUAAUCUCAGCUGUAUAUGUUGUCCGCGUCUCUUAAGGAAGGAAAAAAACAAAGUGGCAGGAAUUCUGACAGCAUGCAGCAUUAAGAGCCUUUUUGGAGCAACUUGGAUCUUUGCCGUGGAUAACUUGCCAGAAAUGGGAGGCCAACAGAGAUCAUGACGGGCACGUGGCAGGCAGGGGGAAGUGGAGACUUUCACUUUGACAGGCAAAAGGGCAUCGCUAGGCCACCUGGUUACAUGGCGUGCACUCACAGAAAGGCCGGAAGGUUCUAGGUGAGUAGCCGGUACACAGGGGGCACCUGGUUCCAUGGCGUGCACUCACAGAAAGGCCGGAAGGUUCUAGGUGAGUAGGACUGUGAUAGUACCCAGACGGCGAAUAAAAUAUAAUUCAUGUAUCAUAGCUGUCUCUGCUUUAAUGUGAUUGACAAUCUAGGUACUUUAUUCCCUGGGAAGAUAGACAGUAUUGGUUGAUUACUUCUAAAUUUAGCCAUAUACUGGGGAAAAAAUGUAAUUUAACGGUUGUUCUGUGCAUGACCAAUCAUUAAUGAGAGACUUCUAAAGUACCUGAAUCUCAUUUUAUUCAUUGGGGAAUUUUUGUGUGGAUUUCAAUAUAUUAUCAAAGUACUGAAUUUUAAAGUGAAAGCUAUAAGGAAUUUAAAAAUAUGAUGUUUCGCCAAAAUGAAAAUAGACUGUCAUGGAGCUACAUAUAAUUUCUCACGUUAAGUAGUUUGAAUCAUUAUGAAUUAAAACGUGAUACAUAAAUAGUAUAUCUAGUGGUGUUAAUCUAUGCUUUUUUGAAUUUUGAUUAUAUUCAUGGUAAUUUUUUUUCAAUUAUUGGUGAUCUAAUUUAAUUUUGAAAACGAGGUGACCUUCUGUAUAUUUUGCAAGACUACACAAAUCAGCUCUUUUUCCCUCACCAGUCAUGCUGACCUGCCUUCAGGUUCAGCCGGUACUAAUAGCCCAUCGGAAGCAGACCGCUUACUGCGAUUAACGAAGUGUCGUCCGCGUGUGGUCCAGGAGAUAAGGCAGGCCUUCAGGAAAGCUAGGGAUGACCGGACCUCAUGCUCGGGGGGUGGGGGUGGGGGCAUUCAAACUUCAACCGUCAAAAAUGCAACGAUGGCAUCACCUCAAAGGUCUCUGGACCAUAUCACAGCUUGGCUUGUGGGUUCUGGUAGUGACAGUAAGACCCCUACCAGACACAUAG